UAGGGAAUUUUCGGGCAAUGGGGGCGCAAGCCUGACCGAGCAACGCCGCGUGAGUGAUGAAGUUUUUCGGAAUGUAAAGCUCUGUUGCACGGGACGAACGGAGAGGGAGGACCCUCUUGUGACGGUACCGUGCGAGGAAGCCACGGCUAACUACGUGCCAGCAGCCGCGGUAAUACGUAGGUGGCGAGCGUUAUCCGGAAUUAUUGGGCGUAAAGGGAGCGCAGGCGGGAAGGUAAGUCUAUCUUAAAAGUGCGGGGCUCAACCCCGUGAGGGGAUGGAAACUAUCUUUCUUGAGUGCAGGAGAGGAAAGCGGAAUUCCUAGUGUAGCGGUGAAAUGCGUAGAUAUUAGGAGGAACACCAGUGGCGAAGGCGGCUUUCUGGACUGUAACUGACGCUGAGGCUCGAAAGCGUGGGGAGCGAACAGGAUUAGAUACCCUGGUAGU
RNAcentral lists this ribosomal RNA (443 nucleotides) under uncultured Mitsuokella sp. RNAcentral's name for it is "bacterial SSU rRNA". It matches the Rfam family "Bacterial small subunit ribosomal RNA", at positions 355 to 794 of the family's 1533-position model. The record is from RNAcentral. Lineage: Bacteria; Bacillati; Bacillota; Negativicutes; Selenomonadales; Selenomonadaceae.